AAUUAUAUGCAAAUCGUUACUUUCCGUUUCUUCUUUUACUUUAGCACCUGAGUAUUGGGGCUUUCGUGCGUAAGAAAAUAAACGAAAAGUUACGCUAAAGCCUCCUAAUGGAGGCUUUUUUAUU
This is a non-coding RNA of Providencia burhodogranariea DSM 19968, 124 nucleotides long. The record is from Rfam. NCBI's taxonomy places the organism in Bacteria, Pseudomonadati, Pseudomonadota, Gammaproteobacteria, Enterobacterales, Morganellaceae.